Xyrichtys novacula (pearly razorfish) is the source of this 252-nucleotide non-coding RNA. The record is from the annotation of a GenBank genome assembly. Lineage: Eukaryota; Metazoa; Chordata; Actinopteri; Labriformes; Labridae.
CUGAAUUGCUUUUAAGCGGCACCAGAUAGGGUUGAUUUUGAAGGCUACAUGUGGACGCAGAUAUUUUUGAGAACUAAAACGUGUGGACAGAUACAUUUAUUUAGACGGGAGUACAAAAAUAUCCUAAUAAAUAAAUAUCUAUAUACGUGUUGUCCGGGCCUUAGUCUGUGUUUUUCUCUCACUUGGCUUUAGUGAAACACUUUCAUGAUCAGUUUUCUGCUUCGGUUCAUGAUGUUACUCACUUAUAUGUCC